RNAcentral lists this long non-coding RNA (302 nucleotides) under Gossypium raimondii (Peruvian cotton). Its description in RNAcentral is "long non-coding RNA (GRAI_LNC002946)". The record is from RNAcentral. Lineage: Eukaryota; Viridiplantae; Streptophyta; Magnoliopsida; Malvales; Malvaceae.
UGAUUCAAUUGUUGACCGGAAUGGUAUGGAUAUAGACAGAGGGGCUUCUUAUCCACCAUCUUUUCAGGAUACUCUUCUAGGGUCUCUUCCAUAUUUAUUUCAAGGGUUGGAUAUGGAUGAUAUUGUGUUAGAGGAUAGUGACAUGUUGAUCGAUGAUAUUGAUGGGGUUCCUUGAUUAGGUUUUUGGAUCAAGUUCACACUCUCAUUGAGAAUAGUACAGAACAUCCGGUUGUCAUCAAGUUGUUGGGUCGCCAGAUUGUGUUUAAUGUGCUUCUUAACAUAUUAUUUACCUUCUGGAAGCU